GACCAGACUGUGAUCCGAGGAUGUCCGAAUGGGGAAACCCACUACCCGUCAUGGGGUAGUACUCCCGCCUGAACACAUAGGGCGGCGAGAGGGAACCGGGUGAAUUGAAACAUCUCAGUAACCCGAGGAAAGGAAAGUAACAACGACUCCGUAAGUAGCGGCGAGCGAACGCGGAUGAGCCUAAACCUGGCUGGUGUGAUAGCCCAGCAGCGUUGCCAACCAGGGGUCGUGGGACCAAAUAGAGAAGGGCUGGCCUUCUCACAGAGUUACAAACGUGCUGUGUAGUGGAACCGUCUGGAAAGUCGGACCGCAGGGGGUAACAGUCCCGUACACGAAACAUAUGCACACUCUGAUUUGUGCUCCCGAGUAACGCCGGAUCCGGGAAAGCCGGCGUGAAUCCACGAGGACCACCUCGUAAGGCUAAGUAUACGUAGACGACCGAUAGUGCACUAGUACCGUGAGGG
This 464-nucleotide ribosomal RNA is filed under the name uncultured bacterium. RNAcentral's name for it is "bacterial LSU rRNA". It matches the Rfam family "Bacterial large subunit ribosomal RNA", at positions 90 to 509 of the family's 2925-position model. The record is from RNAcentral.